Molecule: ribosomal RNA, 754 nt
Filed under: Salmonella enterica subsp. enterica serovar Durham
Lineage: Bacteria; Pseudomonadati; Pseudomonadota; Gammaproteobacteria; Enterobacterales; Enterobacteriaceae
Description: partial 23S ribosomal RNA
Rfam family: Bacterial large subunit ribosomal RNA
Source: RNAcentral
GUUAAGCGACUAAGCGUACACGGUGGAUGCCCUGGCAGUCAGAGGCGAUGAAGGGCGUGCUAAUCUGCGAUAAGCGCCGGUAAGGUGAUAUGAACCGUUAUAACCGGCGAUACCCGAAUGGGGAAACCCAGUGUGAUUCGUCACACUAUCAUUAACUGAAUCCAUAGGUUAAUGAGGCGAACCGGGGGAACUGAAACAUCUAAGUACCCCGAGGAAAAGAAAUCAACCGAGAUUCCCCCAGUAGCGGCGAGCGAACGGGGAGGAGCCCAGAGCCUGAAUCAGCAUGUGUGUUAGUGGAAGCGUCUGGAAAGGCGCGCGAUACAGGGUGACAGCCCCGUACACAAAAGCGCAUGUGCUGUGAGCUCGAUGAGUAGGGCGGGACACGUGGUAUCCUGUCUGAAUAUGGGGGGACCAUCCUCCAAGGCUAAAUACUCCUGACUGACCGAUAGUGAACCAGUACCGUGAGGGAAAGGCGAAAAGAACCCCGGCGAGGGGAGUGAAAAAGAACCUGAAACCGUGUACGUACAAGCAGUGGGAGCCCCACCACUAAGCCAGUGGUGAACUCCACAUACGCAUCCUUUGCUGAGGAUACGGUUAACGGAGCGAAAGCGACGUUCAACCGCAAAAGAAGCAGAGGGGGCUUAGUGGUGGGGUGACUGCGUACCUUUUGUAUAAUGGGUCAGCGACUUAUAUUCUGUAGCAAGGUUAACCGUAUAGGGGAGCCGGAGGGAAACCGAGUCUUAACCGGGCGUUA